This 253-nucleotide ribosomal RNA is filed under the name uncultured bacterium. Its description in RNAcentral is "partial 16S ribosomal RNA". It matches the Rfam family "Bacterial small subunit ribosomal RNA", at positions 524 to 776 of the family's 1533-position model. The record is from RNAcentral.
UACGAAGGGGGCUAGCGUUGCUCGGAAUCACUGGGCGUAAAGCGCACGUAGGCGGCCUUCUAAGUCAGACGUGAAAUCCCUCGGCUCAACCGGGGAACUGCGUCUGAUACUGGGAGGCUUGAAUCCGGGAGAGGAAUGCGGAAUUCCAGGUGUAGCGGUGAAAUGCGUAGAUAUCUGGAGGAACACCGGUGGCGAAGGCGGCAUUCUGGACCGGCAUUGACGCUGAGGCGCGAAAGCCAGGGGAGCAAACGGG